RNAcentral lists this long non-coding RNA (294 nucleotides) under Zea mays. RNAcentral describes it as "drought-responsive long non-coding RNA". The record is from RNAcentral. Lineage: Eukaryota; Viridiplantae; Streptophyta; Magnoliopsida; Poales; Poaceae.
AUGAGUUGUGUAAAUUGCAUGGGAUUAACCAUCCGAGACGAAGGUGUUUCGCUUGGCCGUGAUUGUUGGAGGAAGGAGAUCUACGACGAUGUCGUGUGGAUCGAUGAAUGCUUCUUCUACGCUCCACCUCGCCGGUCGUCGACGCAGCUCAUGGACGUCGACGGCGUCGAGGAUCUAGCGUUGCAGAGUCGCGCGAGCCGAUGGACUCCGCCGGAUCCGCGCUUCCCUGGACCACCGCCGCUCGAUCCGGUGGCGAUGGGGGAGGGACACCUAGCCAACAACUCAACCGCAUGA